RNAcentral lists this ribosomal RNA (207 nucleotides) under uncultured bacterium. RNAcentral's name for it is "partial 16S ribosomal RNA". It matches the Rfam family "Bacterial small subunit ribosomal RNA", at positions 568 to 774 of the family's 1533-position model. The record is from RNAcentral.
CUCGUAGGUGGUUGAUCGCGUCGGAAGUGUAAUCUUGGGGCUUAACCCUGAGCGUGCUUUCGAUACGGGUUGACUUGAGGAAGGUAGGGGAGAAUGGAAUUCCUGGUGGAGCGGUGCAAUGCGCAGAUAUCAGGAGGAACACCAGUGGCGAAGGCGGUUCUCUGGGCCUUUCCUGACGCUGAGGAGCGAAAGCGUGGGGAGCGAACA